AACAACGGAUCUCUUGGUUCUGGCAUCGAUGAAGAACGCAGCGAAAUGCGAUAAGUAAUGUGAAUUGCAGAAUUCAGUGAAUCAUCGAAUCUUUGAACGCACAUUGCGCCCGGCAGUAAUCUGCCGGGCAUGCCUGUCCGAGCGUCA
RNAcentral lists this ribosomal RNA (147 nucleotides) under Lomentospora prolificans. RNAcentral describes it as "5.8S ribosomal RNA". It matches the Rfam family "5.8S ribosomal RNA". Rfam says of the family: 5.8S ribosomal RNA (5.8S rRNA) is a component of the large subunit of the eukaryotic ribosome. It is transcribed by RNA polymerase I as part of the 45S precursor that also contains 18S and 28S rRNA. Lineage: Eukaryota; Fungi; Ascomycota; Sordariomycetes; Microascales; Microascaceae. The record is from RNAcentral.